GCAAGUCGAACGGCAGCGCGGGGAGCUUGCUCCCUGGCGGCGAGUGGCGGACGGGUGAGUAAUGCAUAGGAAUCUGCCUAGUAGUGGGGGACAACUCCGGGAAACCGGGGCUAAUACCGCAUACGCCCUACGGGGGAAAGCGGGGGAUCUUCGGACCUCGCGCUAUUGGAUGAGCCUAUGUCGGAUUAGCUUGUUGGUGGGGUAAUGGCCCACCAAGGCGACGAUCCGUAGCUGGUCUGAGAGGACGAUC
RNAcentral lists this ribosomal RNA (250 nucleotides) under uncultured bacterium. RNAcentral describes it as "partial 16S ribosomal RNA". It matches the Rfam family "Bacterial small subunit ribosomal RNA", at positions 57 to 305 of the family's 1533-position model. The record is from RNAcentral.